Molecule: long non-coding RNA, 124 nt
Organism: Asparagus officinalis (garden asparagus)
Lineage: Eukaryota; Viridiplantae; Streptophyta; Magnoliopsida; Asparagales; Asparagaceae
Exons: 2
Source: RefSeq, a predicted model, not a curated record
UGCAAGUUGCACUUAGAAAUAAACCUACAGAAGUAAGUGUUGAUGACUGAGAUUGGCUAGUUAAGGAACAUUAUUUUUCUUCAAAAUUUCAGAAAGCAAGCCAACAAAAUACACUUAACAGAGG